Non-coding RNA from Chytridium lagenaria, 86 nucleotides. NCBI's taxonomy places the organism in Eukaryota, Fungi, Chytridiomycota, Chytridiomycetes, Chytridiales, Chytridiaceae. The record is from the annotation of a GenBank genome assembly.
UCCCAGUUAGUAUAGUGGCUAGUAUCCGCCCCUGUCACUUUAAAAGCAGAUCGGGCGAGACCCGGGUUCAAUUCCCGGACUGGGAG